This 1979-nucleotide long non-coding RNA is filed under the name Brachypodium distachyon (stiff brome). Its description in RNAcentral is "long non-coding RNA (BDIS_LNC002795)". The record is from RNAcentral. Lineage: Eukaryota; Viridiplantae; Streptophyta; Magnoliopsida; Poales; Poaceae.
CUUUAUGCUAAGUGCCGUGCCUGUACAUAUAGUACAUAUAUAUGUACUAUACCUGUACAUAUAGUACCUGUACAAACGUACGUGUGGACGAAGCUUCCUUUGUUACCGCGUGGACACACUUUAUCGUCUCCUCGAUCUUAUCGCCCAACAAAACAAUCGACAUCACGCUCCAGAUUUUGUUAUAUCGUGCACAAAUAGUCCACACCUUAAGAAAAAAAAAAUGUCUGAGCUAGCUCACCUUGUUUGUUGGACCGGGCAAUAUUUGGUACAUAUCGUACACAAAUAGAUAACCUUAAAAACAAUGUUUACUCUGGUCACCUAGAUUGUUGGACCAGGGAAUAUUCGAGUCAAAUAUAUAAUUACAUGCACAAAUUAAAUUUAACAGUUCGAUUGGCCACUUGCCAUGGUUUUUUCCUGAGGUCAAGCAACCAACUCAUGGGCUUAGAUGCUAGUGGGGUAUUUUUUUGCUAGAUAUAAAUUGUUAGAGAAAUAGUCGAGGAUAAGUCCAUUCGAGUUUUUUAGACCAAUUGCACAAGGUCUCUCCCAAUGCGUAAUUGAGUUUUUUGGAUUAGUUGCUCGUGUCCUAUAUGGAUUCGCAAUUGACUUUUUUUUUUGCUUAGUUGCACAUCAGCUCUUUUGAUGCGUAAUUUAGUGUUUCAGAAGCGAAUCGUUCAUUAAGCCUCUUGAUGUGCAAUUGUUUUUUUUGUUAGUUGCACAUCACCUCCCUCGAUACACAAUUUAGUAUUUUUUGAACGUGAUCGAAUUGCACAUUAAUUAAGCUUCUUUUUGGUAAGUUGCACAUUAAGCCUUUUGAUGUGCAAUUGUGUUUUUUUUGGUUGAGUUGAAUAUCACCUCCGCUGAUUUGCGAUUUAGAUUUUUUUUUGCAAGAGUUAGACAUUACGACUCUUGUUGUGCAAAUGAGUUGCACAUGACUGAUGCUUUGCACAUUACCUCUCCUAAUGUGCAAUUUAUUUAUUUUUUUCUCGAGGAGUUUUGCAUUUUUUUUUAAAAGAAAAUUGUAAGGGAGACCCUACAGUAUAAAUAAGAACCUAAAUUCGCAUUCGUGAGGACUUGAACACAGGUGUUGGGAUUUUACAUCCAUUCCCCCAACCAAGUGAGCUGGGCCCACUUCCUCGAGAGUUGCGCAUUAAGACUCUUGAUGUGUAGUUGUGUAUUUUGGUAUGAGUUGAACAUGACUGAGAUUUAAUGAUAUUUUUUAAGUGAAUUGCAAAUUAUCUCUAGUAACGUGCAUUUUAUUUUUUGGGUGAGUUGCACAUUAAGUAUACAAAUGUGCAAUUGAGUUAUUUUAAUUGUGAUUUGUGCAUGACUGAGAUUCAAAUGUAUUUCUUCACGACUGAGACUUAAGAGUACCUUUUUCAGAUGAAUUGCACAUCAUCUCUACUAAUGUGCAAUUGAGUUUUGCGCGUGAGUUGCAGAUGACCGAGAUUUAACAAAUUUUCUUAUUUAUCGGCAAUUUUAUUUCUGUGAGUUUUACUAAAUCUCAGUGGCAUGAGAUUUUUUUUUAUUGCUCAGAUGAUUUUAUAGUCGUUAGAUUCACCUUAUAUUAAGGUUCGUCCGAACUUUGUACUACAUUAUGUGUGCCUGUGGUAAAACAGGUUAGAUACGUGGGCUUUAUUUAUCUGUAUUGGGUCCCAAUUCUCCAUUUUUCUUAUUGCACAAUCCAACACGGCGGUAGCACAAGUAAUAUUCGGGUUUUUUUUGAAAAGGAGGGCAUCCCGGCCUCUACAUCGAUCGAUGCACACGACAACAUGUAACAUAUAUACGUGCAUUUCUAAUAAUAGAAAUGUAAAACUUAUGUAUUUUUCAAUCAGAAAAAAGAAAGAUGCCCGAAAUGUAAAACUUAUGUAAUUUUCAAUCAGAAAAAAGAAAGAUGCCCACACAUAAAUGGAGCUGACCAGCUAAUCAUUUUUCUUGGAAUAUACCUAACGCCAGUCAACACAAACAUACACGGGACACGC